This is a non-coding RNA of Paramuricea clavata, 204 nucleotides long. Lineage: Eukaryota; Metazoa; Cnidaria; Anthozoa; Malacalcyonacea; Plexauridae. The record is from the annotation of a GenBank genome assembly.
GCUCUCGCUAAGCCACAGAAUAGGAAGUUAUACCAGAAGCGUAACUCUAGUCGUUUCCCUUAUUGUUUGACGUCCACGAAAAUUUUAACUUGCUCACGUCAGGCCACGCCAUCCUGGCUAGUACAGCCGGAAGUUUUUAUCAGGAUUUGGUAGGUACAAAGUGCCGGUUGUACUAGCCAGGAUGGCGUGAUUGAUGACGAAUCG